AGAGUUUGAUCAUGGCUCAGGACGAACGCUGGCGGCGUGCCUAACACAUGCAAGUCGAACGGAGAAUUUCAAUAAGUUUACUUAGCGAAAUUUUUAGUGGCGGACGGGUGAGUAACGCGUGGGUAACCUACCCAUAAAACCGGGACAACCCUUGGRAAMGGGGGCUAAUACCGGAUACGCUUUUGAUGCGGCAUCGCAUUAAAAGGAAAGGUGGCCUCUGAAUAUGCUACCGAUUAUGGAAGGACCCGCGUCUGAUUAGCUAGUUGGUGGGGUAAAGGCCUACCAAGGCGACGACGGGUAGGGGACCUGAGAGGGUGACCCCCCACAAUGGAACUGAAAUACGGUCCAUACACCUACGGGUGGCAGCAGUAGGGAAUAUUGCACAAUGGGCGAAAGCCUGAUGCAGCAACGCCGCGUGCACGAUGAAGGUCUUCGGAUCGUAAAGUGCUUUUCUGGGAGAUGAGAAAGGACAGUAUCCCAGGAAUAAGUCUCGGCUAACUACGUGCCAGCAGCCGCGGUAAUACA
Molecule: ribosomal RNA, 525 nt
Filed under: uncultured Desulfosporosinus sp.
Lineage: Bacteria; Bacillati; Bacillota; Clostridia; Eubacteriales; Desulfitobacteriaceae
Description: bacterial SSU rRNA
Rfam family: Bacterial small subunit ribosomal RNA
Source: RNAcentral